This 323-nucleotide ribosomal RNA is filed under the name uncultured eukaryote. Its description in RNAcentral is "partial 18S ribosomal RNA". It matches the Rfam family "Eukaryotic small subunit ribosomal RNA", at positions 1470 to 1796 of the family's 1831-position model. The record is from RNAcentral.
CCCUUAGAUGUUCUGGGCCGCACGCGUGCUACACUGAACGGUUCAAUGGGUAAGGUAGUGCGAAAGCAUGACCUAAUCUCGAAAUCCGUUCGUGCUGGGGAUAGAAGCUUGCAAUUAUCCUUCUUGAACGAGGAAUACCUUGUAAGCGUGAGCCAUCAUCUCACGCUGAAUACGUCCCUGCCCUUUGUACACACCGCCCGUCGCUCCUACCGAUUGAGUGUUCCGGUGAGGCUUUGGGAGAAUGGCCUCAACAUGAGUUUAUCGUGUUUUGCCGUUUGAACUUAGUCAAACCUUAUCACUUAGAGGAAGGAGAAGUCGUAACA